CCUACGGGAGGCAGCAGUGGGGGAUAUUGCACAAUGGGGGAAACCCUGAUGCAGCGACGCCGCGUGGGUGAAGAAGUAUUUCGGUAUGUAAAGCCCUAUCAGCAGGGAAGAGAGAAGACGGUACCUGACUAAGAAGCCCCGGCUAACUACGUGCCAGCAGCCGCGGUAAUACGUAGGGGGCGAGCGUUAUCCGGAUUCACUGGGUGUAAAGGGAGCGUAGACGGACGUGCAAGCCAGGAGUGAAAGCCCGGGGCCCAACCACGGGACUGCUUUUGAAACUGUGCGGCUGGAGUGCGGGAGGGGUAGGCGGAAUUCCUGGUGUAGCGGUGAAAUGCGUAGAUAUCAGGAGGAACACCGGCGGCGAAGGCGGCCUGCUGGACCGAGACUGACGUUGAGGCUCGAAAGCGUGGGGAGCGAACAGGAUUAGAUACCCUUGUAGUC
RNAcentral lists this ribosomal RNA (441 nucleotides) under uncultured bacterium. Its description in RNAcentral is "partial 16S ribosomal RNA". It matches the Rfam family "Bacterial small subunit ribosomal RNA", at positions 338 to 795 of the family's 1533-position model. The record is from RNAcentral.